UACGUAGGGUGCAAGCGUUGUCCGGAAUUAUUGGGCGUAAAGAGCUCGUAGGCGGUUUGUCGCGUCUGCUGUGAAAACUCGGGGCUUAACUCCGGGCCUGCAGUGGGUACGGGCAGACUAGAGUGCGGUAGGGGAGACUGGAAUUCCUGGUGUAGCGGUGAAAUGCGCAGAUAUCAGGAGGAACACCGAUGGCGAAGGCAGGUCUCUGGGCCAUAACUGACGCUGAGAAGCGAAAGCAUGGGGAGCGAACGGG
RNAcentral lists this ribosomal RNA (253 nucleotides) under uncultured bacterium. RNAcentral's name for it is "partial 16S ribosomal RNA". It matches the Rfam family "Bacterial small subunit ribosomal RNA", at positions 524 to 776 of the family's 1533-position model. The record is from RNAcentral.